GGCUCUAUGGUCUAGUGGUAUGAUUCCUGCUUUGGGUAGCUAAUCUAAAGUGCAGGAGGCCCCGCGUUCGAAUCGCGGUGGAGCCC
Molecule: transfer RNA, 86 nt
Filed under: Venturia effusa
Lineage: Eukaryota; Fungi; Ascomycota; Dothideomycetes; Venturiales; Venturiaceae
Description: tRNA-Pro
Rfam family: tRNA
About the family: Transfer RNA (tRNA) molecules are approximately 80 nucleotides in length. Their secondary structure includes four short double-helical elements and three loops (D, anti-codon, and T loops). Further hydrogen bonds mediate the characteristic L-shaped molecular structure. tRNAs have two regions of fundamental functional importance: the anti-codon, which is responsible for specific mRNA codon recognition, and the 3' end, to which the tRNAs corresponding amino acid is attached (by aminoacyl-tRNA synthetases). tRNAs cope with the degeneracy of the genetic code in two manners: having more than one tRNA (with a specific anti-codon) for a particular amino acid; and 'wobble' base-pairing, i.e. permitting non-standard base-pairing at the 3rd anti-codon position.
Source: RNAcentral